Long non-coding RNA from Sinocyclocheilus rhinocerous, 422 nucleotides. RefSeq lists it as uncharacterized. The record is from RefSeq and is a predicted model, not a curated record. NCBI's taxonomy places the organism in Eukaryota, Metazoa, Chordata, Actinopteri, Cypriniformes, Cyprinidae. The transcript is spliced from 3 exons.
CAGCUUACAUUUAUUCCUGUUGUGAUAACUUUCCAAACCUUUAAACGAAGUACGAAGUGAAUCUAGCGAACACUGAAACAAUAGAAUAAACGUUCUUGUCUUACGUUCAAUCGGCUAAGUAAAUACGCAGUAUAGGCUAUUGGCGACAUCUAGGCAUCGUUGUUUGCUGUCAUCGGUAAAUUCGGCAGCUAAUUAUUCUUGCUAGUUAAUUAAAUAGAGCAUUUUAACAUUUAACAGUAACUGCUUAGAAAUAAUCGAAACCAUGAUAGAAUUAAAUUUUGUAUCAUCUUGUUUAUUUUUAUUUUUGAAACGAACGUAUUUGUGUCUUAAACACAUAACUAUCAUAUGGAAUUAAACUUCUUGUUAAAGCAGAUGGCUUUUAUGAUACAUAUAAAAUAGAUUUCGAAAAAUAUAUUUCGAAG